RNAcentral lists this transfer RNA (68 nucleotides) under Meles anakuma (Japanese badger). RNAcentral's name for it is "Thr-tRNA". The record is from RNAcentral. Lineage: Eukaryota; Metazoa; Chordata; Mammalia; Carnivora; Mustelidae. RNAcentral also lists the same sequence under 2 other names.
GUCUUUGUAGUAUAACAAUUACCUUGGUCUUGUAAACCAAAAAUGGAGAAAGACGCCUCCCUAAGACU